Frieseomelitta varia is the source of this 628-nucleotide long non-coding RNA. RefSeq lists it as uncharacterized. Lineage: Eukaryota; Metazoa; Arthropoda; Insecta; Hymenoptera; Apidae. The transcript is spliced from 3 exons. The record is from RefSeq and is a predicted model, not a curated record.
AAAAAAAAAAAAAGAAAAAAAUAGCAAGUCAUUUUUGUUUGGCCAGCGUUGCAUGAGGAAUCAGCGGUGUUUCGUGAUCGCGUAAUCGUCGAGCUCGACCUGUUAAGCUUCCGAUUGCGCGGCCUCCGAAUGCCACAUGCCCCGUGGACUCGCGACGCGAGGAUCGCAGGGAUCACGAACAUUGUUGCCUGCUGAAUUUGGCUUCAACCGUGGCCAUGAAUGAUUGACUUCGAUUCAUGAUUGCGCGCGUUCGAUCGAUGACGAGCAAAUUGUAAUUGAGCGCACGUAGCCUCUCGAGUUGGAGCGGCUAUGAAACUAAUUUUCCACUUUGAAAACACGACGCGUUACGAGCGUGGCGGAUUUUACUAGAGGAUUUUUUGGCAGUGCAACGGGUACGACGGAAUUUUAUCACGUGGAAAGUUUUAGCACGUCCAGACACUUGGUUGGCUAUUUUUAAAAUGCCUGAUACUCGCCGCCACCUUCUAAUCUUUUUUGAUUUAUCUCGACACCUCGGCCCCUCAAUCUCAAUUAAUCGGCAUCUCCGCGUUUCGCUAAUGAGCUUAAAGUGAGCUGUGUACGUGUUUGGCAUUUUAUGGCCAUUCGGUUCUCUUUCUCCGUCGGUUCGCUC